CGAUAGUAUGCUAUAGUAGAUAUUGGAUAUUUUGUUGGACUAACCCCUGCAGGAAAACUUUCAAUAUCGACCUGGGAAGUCCUGAGACAAACUCACAUUGGAGACAAAGAGAGAGGCACAUGAAGUUAAACAAUUUGCACUAGGAAGGCAUAGCUCAUAAGAGAUGAUCCAUGGAGGGUGCUACAAACACGAUGCACAACCGCUAAGAAAGGAAAGCUGCCACAAGGUGAUACUGUACCAACACUCUUCAAGUAAGGUAACAUCUUAAGGUACUUCACUAUCACUUUUAUAAGCUUCUCCUUGGUUCUGGCGUUCACAUGAAUAAAAGAGACAAACAUGUAUGAUUUACAACUCUAGAUUAACCAACCCAAUUGAUUCAAUAUGUUUAGUCCUUCCACCUUUGUGAUUCCACACUCCUAAUCAUAUGAGCUAAAAUAUUGCACAUUCAAUAUUUGGAAGAUAUAAACAAAACAUAAAUAUAGAUAGAUUAUCUUUCCAUUAGGUUGAGCGAUCUGAUAUGACAAAUGCUUAAAAUGUUACACUCAUGAUCUUAUUAUCCAACUUUGUCUUGCUCACUAUGCUUAAGGUUAGAGAGAACAAAUACACUUUAGGUUCUGUUGGUGUUUUCCACCAACAGGGCCCAUGCACUUGAUCUCUGCCUUGUCUCUAUGAGCAGGUACACUUCAAGCAAAAUAUGAAGGAGUUUUACAACUCCCAGACUCCACCAAGUGAUGAACCUAGAUCUACGAGCACAAACACACUAGAGAUACUAGACACUCAGGCAAUCACUGCCCUGAGAUGCUUGAGGACGUAACUACUGGAGUAACCCCAUUGUGGAAAUAAUUACUGACCUUCUGCCGGUCAAGAGAGACAAUCCAGGACGCCCCGUCAUCCCGAUCUCCAUCGGCAUGGUGGACUUCCUAGAAGCACUCUGUGACUUUGGCUCCAGUGUCAACAUUAUGCCCAGGCUUGCAGAUCGUACGCUAAGUUUCCCAAAGGGAAUAGUGAAGAACCUCUGCGUCCGAGUUGGUACCUUGUACGCCCGAGCAGACUUCGUGGUGAUAGAGACCGGUUCUGAUGAGAGGGCACCCAUCAUUCUAGGGAGGCCAUUCCUGAACACCUCGGGAGCAGUCAUCCACGCUAGUGCUGCCAAGAUCAGUUUCUACAUCAAGGGGAUGAAGGAGACGUUUUCCUUCAAAAACAAAACUACACAAAUCUCAGAGCAAUCCUGACAUGAACCAAGGAAAGGACCAACAGGAGGAACAGGAACAAGCAAGUGUGGACCGAGUCAGCUAAGAUGGUCACUGCAGUUCAAGGAGGUCAAGAUCAUCGACUUAAGUCACCAUUCUUGACCAAAAAAGGACGACCUAGUCACCUAUCAGCUCCUAUUCAGAACCAUGCCCCUAAAACCGAUAUACAUUCAGCUCCUGAUGGCAGAUCAGACAUUCUGAAAGAUUGAAGGUUAUUGAUAUGGGAGAAGACGAGUACGAUCCACCCAUCAUCCUUGGAAGGUCGUUCCUCAGCACCGUUAAAGCAAUCAUCUACAUUGAAACCGGAGAAGUCCACAUGAGAGAGGAGGUACGCUGCUAUUUUAAUGACCCUAACUAUAUAGUUGAAGACUCUAAGCAGGUCAGGACAAGAAGAAGACAAUGCAACCGCAACCAGAGGAGGCAAAUCAUCAAGGACGGAUGGGCAAACUACGAAGGAGAAGUAGUAAGGUCUGAAGACAUACAACUUGAACAGAACUAUCCUGAGGAGACCGUAGCACCGAAUCAGGUGUGCAGAGAGAAGAUAGUUAUACAUGAAGAGGAGAAGCCGCCGGAACCACCGACUACGCCAUCCAGCGAAUCAUAGGACGACUGAGAAAACGGAGAGUCCCGUUCGGAGGACUUAAAAAUACCGAACGCCUUGCCAAGAGGUAAACUUGGUAGUUAUCUUUUCCUUUCAAUUAUUUUAAAAUAGUUUGCUUAGUUAAUCAGGUUUAUAUCAUCUUGAAAAGAAAAUAAAAAUGUUAAAAAUAGUAAGCCCCAUGUGAGUAUGCUCAUGGCAUAAAACCCAUAAGUACAUUCACUGUGGUGGCAUAAAAAUAAAAUAAAUAUAUUCCUGUCCUAUAAAAAUAAAAAUAUAAAAAUAAAUUUAUGAUCCUACUAAAGAGAGUAACAUUUAUUGAGGAGACUCAACAUGAUAAAGGCUAAAUAUUUAUGCUAACACUUAACUAGUUUCACAAAGCUUUGUUGUCUAUUUGAGCUCCACAGAAUUCAAGGAUCAAAGAAGUCUAGCAGACGGAGGACAUCCUAAUCGCUGUCAGAGUGCUGCCGACAUUCAAAUACACCUCCGCCACCUGCUAGCUACAUCAGAAGAAAUUAUGUCAAAAUCCAGCUUGGGGGAGAGCACCCCCAUUUAUCCAGCUAAGUGUUCUACUCACGUUUAUACUUUACUCGAAUAAUAAAAAGAUGCAUAAUCAUAAAAACCCAAAUAAAGAUUUUGUGCUUAUAUAUAUCUUUGCUUAGUUUGCUAAAUAAAUAAAUAAGUAAAGUUUGCUAUGAACCCUCAUGAUAAGCUCUCACAUGGAAAUGAUGAAUAGUUGCUCUGCCAUGUACCUAGUUUUCAAGUUUAAGCUUUCUCUCAAGUUUAGGCAUAACUGUUAUUAAUUAAGAUUUGCUCUAAACCUGAACUUGUGGGAAGAGUACUUGAUCUAAAGUCUAAAUCAUUAACGGAUAUGAUAUGGGAAGGUUGAGCUGCUGUUUAUCUGUUCCUAGAGAUGCUAGAAUUCUGGAGAAUUUUAUCUUUGAAAAUCUUUAAAAUAACACAUGAUGUGUUCCUGUAUGAUGAGAGUUUAAAUUCCUACCACAGCCAUAUAUAUACAUGCUUGCUAGACUUUGAGCCACUCAUUUACUUUUUACUGCUUAUGAGCAUUGAGUGUGGUCAAGCUGUGUAGACCCCUAGGAGCUUGUCAUGUGGUUAUAUCAAGAUUCACUUGCACGUUCACUCACACAUGCUACUUCUACUCCGGAAGUACCAUCCACAUAUAUCCAUUUCCAUCUCCAGAACCACCCAAAAAUAUUCUACUCCUAAUCCGGAAGAGAAUAGCCAAAAACAUUUCUGUUUUCCCCUGUGAAAUAAAUGCUCAAGUUAUCUUGUUACUACCACUUGCUAUAUUAUUUCAUGAGAUGAGUGCUCUCUAAAAAAAAGAAGAAAAAAAAAAGAAAAAAAGAGAUACGAGAAAAUAAAAAGGGGCAAGUGCCCGGAACCUCGAAAGAAAAAAAAGUGAGACGAGAGGUAAAAAUGGACAAGUGCCCGACAGUAGAACUAGGGGUACAAGAUACCCACGUGAAAGAAAAAGAAAAUAUAGAGCAUCUCAUUCUCCUUAAAAAGUUUCAAAAGAGCAAGAAAGGUAUGUAUCCCCUCAAAAGAGCAUAAGUAGAAUUAGACUUUCACCAUUGUUAUCACCAUCAUCACCAUACACCAUUCAUUCACCACACAUGCACAUCUUGAUUUGACUUAUUGACUUGUUCUUCUGGAUCCAUGGUUUGACUAUGCAAUAAAUGUUUUGUACGUAUGUAUUAGCUGUCUCCCACCUAUGAGCUCCAGAUAUCAAAACCUUAUUAGAGUAGGGUGAGAGAGAAGGCAAUACCACUAUGCCUCAUACCAAAAAUACCACAUACUUUGAGAGAAGGCAUACACCAUUAAUGCCUUGGUAAGGAUCCAGAAAUACCACAAAAGAGAGACUAGAGAGAGUCAUAUAAGGAAUCUCUGAGUUUUAUUUGAAAAUCUGCAAAAACUCCAGAGCUAUAGCUGAUCAAGAAUAAGAGACAUGGUGCUUGACUAGACCGUUCUAUCUUUUAACUACUCAAGACAGAAGUGACGGUUACAAGUCCCAUGGUGAAAGGUAAAUGAGUAAGUUUUAAGUCUUAACAGUUUACUCUAACCCAGAGAUGAUAUCUUGUUUGAACGCCUUUGUAUCUUUAAGGCAAGAAAACACUGUAGAAACUCUUGAGUUCAUCUUUACUCAGGGACGAGCAAAGGUUAAGCUUGGGGGAGCUUGUUGACGGUCCUUAAUGCACACAUUUAACCAUCAACUAAUCAUGGAAAAGGAUCGAAAUGUAACCAACACCCAGACUUAGGGUUUUAUCUGACAGAAUUCCACGAGUUUUGGUGUUUGUCUAUUUCUGUAGGGGGUUAUCAGGAAAUACGGAAGAAAGGCCCACACGUCGGGAUUACAUAGAGAUAUUAAUGUGCCGCGCAAUUUUCUAUCAUCUAGAAGACUCCAGAAGCCACGGGAACGAACGGGAGGCCGAGCGGGCCCGGAGGCAGGGCGCCCGCCCUCCUCUGCUGGCCAAUCAGCACGAGUCUCGGGGAUUAUGCCCCACGGACUCUAAGGAUCGAGGAAAAUCACACGAUGAAGGUCGGUUUGAUCGGAUGGUGGAGAAUAACGUGGAAAUUCCUUGGGAGCUACUCUUCCUAGAUUUCUUGGGAGCUACUCUUCCUAGAUUUCUUGGGGGCUACUCUUCCUGGACUAUAUAAGCAGACCCCCACCAGCCCCUGGAGGCAUACCUCUUCUGCAAAAUCAAAGUUAGGGUUUCAAUUCUUCAUCCAAGUAGAGAGGAUCCCUCUAGUUCUUCUAGUUCUACUUCUAGUUCAUCUAGAUCUAGUUCUAGUUCAUCUAGUUCUAGUUCUAGUUCCUCUAGUUCUAGUUCUAGUUAGUUCUAGUUGUAAUCUAGAAAAUAGGGAGAGAGAAGAGGAGAGCGGAGGAGGAGCCGGAUCUGUUGGAUCUUCCUCAACAUUGUACUUUUGCAGCAACUGGUUCGUCCUUCAUCGUUCUCCAGGUUCUUCAACUCAUAAUUUCUGAGUUCUUUAAUUACUUUUAUUUACAUUCAAGUUAUUUAUUGGAUUCCCGCUUGCAUCAAGUGCUCUAGUCUUUAUAACGCUAGAGUAGUAAUUAAUAGAUUAGACGUGGUGUUUAGUCUUGCGAUUACCUGGAAUUGCACCCAAUCCUGCGGAUUGUUGUGGUAGCCUUAGGGUAGUGACAGCCCUAACGGUCGAUGUAUUCCACCUAGUUCGGAUCGGUGUUUGUAGGACCGUAGUCAGACCUUCCUAGCCCCCUUCUCAUCUCUUUCUGUGGUUAGUGCUCUGAUGUCCCGAUAUAGAUAAUCUUGAAGUAAUUCUUGAUUCUUAGAUCAACUAGAGAACUCUUAGGAAACUUCCUCUCUUCCCAUCAAAAAUAAUUAUAUAGUUAUCCUUGGGCGAUCUUGGAUCUUAAUUAGUACACUCACGUUCCCUGUGGAAAAUUGAUACUCUGGAAUACUCCCGGGUGAAGGCUACAUCGGUAUCCGUGCGCUUGCGGAUUUUUCUGUUUGCGUUUAAAAUACCCAACAAGCUUUCUGGCGCCGUUGCCGGGAAACGGUAGCUGUGCUAGUUUCGAACCAAGUCGUUCGUGUAUCCUUUUUCUUUUCCUUUUCUUUUACCACACUCACCUUACCAUUUUCACCACACCACAUGGAUUUCACUCUAAGCAUUAAUGAGCAUGGAAUUUAUUUCAUUGCCACUUCAUUUACUCCAUGCUCAUAUGCAACAUCUUCACAAUCCAUUGGUCUCUCCAACAUCACCACAUUCGAGAUCUCCAACCCCCACUUCCUUUCUAUUUAUAAAAACUUUAAAAGGGCGGUUGUCGAUGCAUAUGUCUAUAUGAAAUAUUGCAGAUCUCGUUGAGUUGAUCUUGAUAUAGGUCAGCGUUGGAAGGGAAACCACUUCGCCGACAUAAAUUGACGGUUUCCCAAGGACAAGCUUAGUGUCCUAAAACAAGCAUUGAUCAGAUCGUAACAUGAGCUUUUAAUUAUUUACAACAUUACCUUGAGUGUUGAGCAUAUAAGGAUAAUUGUAAAAAAUUCCUUCGGGUAUUCUUGUCACUAACCUUUCCAGGAUUGGAGCAAGAAGAUCGGAUGAAUGACAAGCACAAGGUAUGUCCAACCAAUCAUCAUACAACAUUGAAUUAAAUUCAUCCAAACUUGAAUUUUGCAAAAUUUAAGCUUGGGGGAGUACUUUACAUAAAAACAUCCUUUUCCCUGUUGCUAUGUUGGUUGUCCUUACCUUUAAGACAUGCUCAAUUUUGUUAAAUACUAAUCACACUACUUCAUCUCCACUUGAGUAGAUCUCUAUAAAUGCUUUCAUGCUACCUUUAUUUGCUUUAUUAUAUGUCUAGGCUUGGAGUAGUUUCAUUUAUCUCUUAAUUAAGCAUGGUGCUUAGUUUAGGAAUGAUGAUCUUACUUCCAAAGGAUUUUAAAUUAAGCAUGAUGCUUAGGUUAAAAUUCCCUCCUAAAUCAAAUUAGACAUGGUGUCUAGGUUGAUCUUUGAGCCGAUAGUAUGCUAUAGUAGAUAUUGGAUAUUUUGUUGGACUAACCCCUGCAGGAAAACUUUCAAUAUCGACCUGGGAAGUCCUGAGACAAACUCACAUAGGAGACAAAGAGAGAGGCACAUGAAGUUUAACAAUUUGCACGAGGAAGGCAUAGCUCAUAAGAGAUGAUCCAAGGAGGGUGCUACAAACACGAUGCACAACC
RNAcentral lists this long non-coding RNA (6554 nucleotides) under Sorghum bicolor (sorghum). RNAcentral's name for it is "long non-coding RNA (SBIC_LNC017415)". Lineage: Eukaryota; Viridiplantae; Streptophyta; Magnoliopsida; Poales; Poaceae. The record is from RNAcentral.